Non-coding RNA from Phycomyces blakesleeanus NRRL 1555(-), 74 nucleotides. The record is from Rfam. Lineage: Eukaryota; Fungi; Mucoromycota; Mucoromycetes; Mucorales; Phycomycetaceae.
GGUUUCUUGGUGUAGUUGGUUAUCACGUCUGUCUAACACACAGACGGUCGCCAGUUCAAGUCUGGCAGAAAUCA